Branchiostoma floridae (Florida lancelet) is the source of this 94-nucleotide non-coding RNA. The record is from Rfam. Lineage: Eukaryota; Metazoa; Chordata; Leptocardii; Amphioxiformes; Branchiostomatidae.
UUUAACCUGUGUGUGGAUAGUGUUCAGCACCAAGGACAGGCAUGUUUAGUUGUGUGUGGAUGAUGUUCAACACAAAGGACUGAUGUAUUUAACC